Molecule: ribosomal RNA, 497 nt
Filed under: uncultured bacterium
Lineage: Bacteria
Description: partial 16S ribosomal RNA
Rfam family: Bacterial small subunit ribosomal RNA
Source: RNAcentral
GACGAACGCUGGCGGCGUGCCUAAUACAUGCAAGUAGAACGCUGAAGAGAGGAGCUUGCUCUUCUUGGAUGAGUUGCGAACGGGUGAGUAACGCGUAGGUAACCUGCCUUGUAGCGGGGGAUAACUAUUGGAAACGAUAGCUAAUACCGCAUAACAAUGGAUGACACAUGUCAUUUAUUUGAAAGGGGCAAUUGCUCCACUACAAGAUGGACCUGCGUUGUAUUAGCUAGUAGGUGAGGUAAUGGCUCACCUAGGCGACGACACAUAGCCGACUUGAGAGGGUGAUCGGCCACACUGGGACUGAGACACGGCCCAGACUCCUACGGGAGGCAGCAGUAGGGAAUCGUCGGCAAUGGGGGCAACCCUGACCGAGCAACGCCGCGUGAGGGAAGAAGGUUUUCGGGUCGUAAAGCUCUGUUGUAAGUCAAGAACGGGUGUGAGAGUGGAAAGUUCACACUGUGACGGUAGCUUACCAGAAAGGGACGGCUAACUACGUG